Pelobates cultripes (western spadefoot toad) is the source of this 102-nucleotide non-coding RNA. The record is from the annotation of a GenBank genome assembly. Lineage: Eukaryota; Metazoa; Chordata; Amphibia; Anura; Pelobatidae.
AUUUAAAUAAAAAGUGUAGUCACCAAUUCAGCAUAGGAUACAAAUAACAUCCUUAUGUUUGUAUCCUAUGCUGAAGUGGUGACUACACUUUUUAUUUAAAUA